RNAcentral lists this ribosomal RNA (870 nucleotides) under Coconut lethal yellowing phytoplasma. RNAcentral's name for it is "bacterial SSU rRNA". The stretch from base 1 to 705 matches the Rfam family "Bacterial small subunit ribosomal RNA", at positions 832 to 1533 of the family's 1533-position model. Lineage: Bacteria; Bacillati; Mycoplasmatota; Mollicutes; Acholeplasmatales; Acholeplasmataceae. The record is from RNAcentral.
GGGUUUCCUCGGUACUGAAGUUAACACAUUAAGUACUCCGCCUGAGUAGUACGUACGCAAGUAUGAAACUUAAAGGAAUUGACGGGAUCCCGCACAAGCGGUGGAUCAUGUUGUUUAAUUCGAAGAUACACGAAAAACCUUACCAGGUCUUGACAUUAUCCUGCGAAGCUAUAGAAAUAUAGGGGAGGUUAUCAGGAUAACAGGUGGUGCAUGGUUGUCGUCAGCUCGUGUCGUGAGAUGUUAGGUUAAGUCCUAAAACGAGCGCAACCCUUGUCGUUAGUUACCAGCACGUUAUGGUGGGGACUUUAGCGAGACUGCCAAUGAAAAAAUUGGAGGAAGGUGAGGAUUACGUCAAAUCAUCAUGCCCCUUAUGAUCUGGGCUACAAACGUGAUACAAUGGCUAUUACAAAGAGCAGCUGAAACGUGAGUUGUUAGCUAAUCUCAAAAAAAUAGUCUCAGUUCGGAUUGAAGUCUGCAACUCGACUUCAUGAAGUUGGAAUCGCUAGUAAUCGCGAAUCAGCAUGUCGCGGUGAAUACGUUCUCGGGGUUUGUACACACCGCCCGUCAAACCAUGAAAGUUGACAAUACCCAAAACCAGUCGCUUAACUACUUCGGUAGAGGGAGCUGUCUAAGGUAGGGUCGAUGAUUGGGGUUAAGUCGUAACAAGGUAUCCCUACCGGAAGGUGGGGAUGGAUCACCUCCUUUCUAAGGAAAUGUCGUAUCAUGAUCAUCUUCAGUUUUGAAAGACUUAGAGUAGAUAAGUUUUUCUUUUGGCGUAGAGGAAGGGCCUAUAGCUCAGUUGGUAGAGCACACGCUUGAUAAGCGUGCGGUCAAUGGUUCAAGUCCAUUUAGGCCCACCAUACCACAUUC